GAUGAACGCUGGCGGCGUGCCUAAUACAUGCAAGUCGAGCGAACGGACGAGAAGCUUGCUUCUCUGAUGUUAGCGGCGGACGGGUGAGUAACACGUGGAUAACCUACCUAUAAGACUGGGAUAACUUCGGGAAACCGUAGCUAAUACCGGAUAAUAUUUUGAACCGCAUGGUUCAAAAGUGAAAGACGGUCUUGCUGUCACUUAUAGAUGGAUCCGCGCUGCAUUAGCUAGUUGGUAAGGUAACGGCUUACCAAGGCAACGAUGCAUAGCCGACCUGGGAGGGUGAGCGGCCACACUGGAACUGAGACACGGUCCAGACUCCUACGGGAGGCAGCAGUAGGGAAUCUUCCGCAAUGGGCGAAAGCCUGACGGAGCAACGCCGCGUGAGUGAUGAAGGUCUUCGGAUCGUAAAACUCUGUUAUUAGGGAAGAACAUAUGUGUAAGUAACUGUGCACAUCUUGACGGUACCUAAUCAGAAAGCCACGGCUAACUACGU
This 496-nucleotide ribosomal RNA is filed under the name uncultured bacterium. RNAcentral describes it as "partial 16S ribosomal RNA". It matches the Rfam family "Bacterial small subunit ribosomal RNA", at positions 28 to 506 of the family's 1533-position model. The record is from RNAcentral.